GGAAGGGGUGUAUUUAUUAGAUAAAAAACCAAUNCCCUUCGGGGCUCCUUGGUGAAUCAUAAUAACUUAACGAAUCGCAUGGCCUUGCGCCGGCGAUGGUUCAUUCAAAUUUCUGCCCUAUCAACUUUCGAUGGUAGGAUAGUGGCCUACCAUGGUGGCAACGGGUAACGGGGAAUUAGGGUUCGAUUCCGGAGAGGGAGCCUGAGGAACGGCUACCACAUCCAAGGAAGGCAGCAGGCGCGCAAAUUACCCAAUCCCGACACGGGGAGGUAGUGACAAUAAAUACUGAUACGGGGCUCUUUUGGGUCUCGUAAUUGGAAUGAGUACAAUCUAAAUCCCUUAACGAGGAACAAUUGGAGGGCAAGUCUGGUGCCAGCAGCCGCGGUAAUUCCAGCUCCAAUAGCGUAUAUUAAAGUUGUUGCAGUUAAAAAGCUCGUAGUUGAACCUUGGGUCUGGCUGGCCGGUCCGCCUCACCGCGAGUACUGGUCCGGCUGGACCUUUCCUUCUGGGGAAUCUCAUGGCCUUCACUGGCUGUGGGGGGAACCAGGACUUUUAC
This 556-nucleotide ribosomal RNA is filed under the name uncultured Aspergillus. Its description in RNAcentral is "SSU rRNA". It matches the Rfam family "Eukaryotic small subunit ribosomal RNA", at positions 194 to 755 of the family's 1831-position model. Lineage: Eukaryota; Fungi; Ascomycota; Eurotiomycetes; Eurotiales; Aspergillaceae. The record is from RNAcentral.